ACAACGCGAAGCGGCGCCCAACUCGCUUCCGUUCCCAUCUCUUCCCCCCUCGGCAGCCGCCCUCUCGCCUCCUCCCUCCGCCGCCGCCGCCGCCGCCGCCGCCGCCUCGUCCGCAGCCGAAACGAGCAGCCGGCUGCCCGGCCGGAUCCCACGCGGCCCGCUCGAUUCGAGGUCAGAUCCAAGCACCUGCCCUCCCAGGUCCGAAUCGCGCCGAAUUUUUUUCUAGGUUUUGGUACGGAUCUAGGGUUUGGCUUGCCGUGGGAAAUUUUCGGGGGGGAAUUCCGUCGAAUUUCUCUCGGCUUCCACGGUUUGGUUGGAUUCCCGCUCAUGGCCGCUGGGCGCCACGGAGGAUACAGGGACUACGAGGCAAGGGAGCGGGAGCUCGACGCGGAGGCUUCCAGGAGGAGCAAGGAGCAGCAGCACCACCACCACCACCACCUGAGCGGCCGCCACCAUCGCGGCGACGCCGAGCCCCGCCGCGACGCGGACCGGCGCCGUGACGGUGGUCGCAGCAGGGGCGGCAGGGAGUUGUCCAACGGGUACAGCCACCGCCGCUCUCCGCCUCCCAGGAGCCGACUCUCAGGGAGGCUCGGGGAUCGCGAGCCUGGCGAAGUGCUGAGCGGUAGUGGGUCAGAUGACUCUGGCGGGAGGACCCAUAGAGCGAGGGAGAAUGGUGUAUCAACUUCUAGUAGGGAUGGUGAAUUGGUGGCGGCUGCAGCAGCCCAGUCGCCGAGCAAGAAAAGGAAAUUCUCACCGAUUAUAUGGGAUAGGGAUAGCCCAAAGCCAAUGCAUUCUGAUGUAGCAAAGGGCAAGAAGGCACUGGAAUCUGUGCCAACCGAGCUUCCUCCCCCACCUCCUCUACCUCCGCAGGAUCACACCCCUGAGAGGUUGGCUGUGGAGAGGUCGCCGAUGGAUAUGGAGCUUGCCGUUGCUGCUGAGAGCACUGAGCAGUUUCAGGAGCAUGAGCAGAGUAGAGUGAUGGAGGAAGAAGAGGAGUACUCAACAAUGAGGAACAUAUCAACUUCAAGGUGGGCUGGAGCUAAUGAUGAUGAGGAAGAAGGAGCACCACAGAGUAAGAAGAAAAGUUCAUCACCUGCGGGUUCUGCUGAGUUGGGGCAGAGGAAGAAGGCUACUAGCCCAGAACUUGGUGAGGUUGUGGCCAGUGAUGUCUCUGGAGGGAGGACAAUGUCAAGGUCGUCUGAUUCUGGGAGAUUGGGUGCUGAUGAGAAUGAUGAUUUGGAAGUAGAUAAAGAUGACUAUAUGGAUGUUGACAGAGAGGAUGCUGGUAAUAGUGAUGUUGCAAAUCAGCAGUCAGAUACGGAUUCAGAGUAUGAAUUGCGUCGAUCCGAAACACCAGAGCCUGUGAAGCCACCACACAGAUGUAUAAAUAUGCUUCAAGGUUGCAGAAGUGUUGAUGAGUUUGAGAGGCUUAACAAGAUCAACGAGGGCACUUAUGGUGUUGUAUACAGGGCAAGGGAUAAGAAGACUGGCGAGAUUGUUGCGCUGAAGAAGGUCAAAAUGGAGAAAGAGAGAGAAGGUUUCCCAUUAACAUCACUUAGGGAGAUAAACAUCCUUUUGUCUUUUCAUCAUCCUUCAAUUGUUGAUGUUAAGGAAGUAGUAGUUGGUAGUAGCCUAGAUAGUAUUUUUAUGGUAAUGGAGUACAUGGAACAUGAUCUUAAGGGUGUCAUGGAGGCAAUGAAGCAGCCAUAUAGCCAAAGUGAGGUCAAAUGCCUUAUGCUCCAGCUGUUGGAGGGUGUGAAGUAUCUUCAUGACAAUUGGGUGCUUCAUAGGGAUCUGAAGACCUCGAAUCUUUUGCUGAAUAACCGCGGUGAGUUGAAAAUAUGUGAUUUUGGGCUAUCUCGUCAAUAUGGAAGUCCAUUAAAACCUUACACUCAAUUGGUUGUGACUUUGUGGUACAGGGCACCAGAACUAUUAUUAGGAACAAAGGAAUAUUCUACUGCUAUUGAUAUGUGGUCUGUGGGUUGCAUAAUGGCAGAGCUUUUAGCCAAAGAACCAUUGUUUAAUGGGAAAACUGAGUUUGAACAGCUAGAUAAGAUAUUUAGAACACUUGGCACACCUAAUGAGAAGAUAUGGCCUGGCUAUGCCAAAUUGCCGGGUGUCAAAGUAAAUUUCGUCAAACAACCGUACAACCGGUUAAGAGAUAAGUUCCCUGCUGCAUCAUUUUCUGGUCGUCCAAUUCUGUCUGAAGCUGGUUUUGAUCUAUUAAAUAAUCUUCUAACAUAUGAUCCUGAGAAGCGUUUAUCAGCAGAUGCUGCUUUGCAGCAUGAGUGGUUCCGUGAAGUUCCUCUACCUAAAUCGAAGGAUUUCAUGCCAACAUUCCCUGCUCUAAAUGAAUUGGACAGGCGUACCAAACGUUAUUUGAAGAGUCCUGACCCUCUAGAAGAGCAACGGCUGAAAGAACUACAAGGGAACAUUGGCAAUCGUGGUCUUUUUGGCUGAAGCUAUAGCAACUUUUUUGGGCACUGUUCAUCCUGACUGUCGUGCUUCAUUCUGAAUCUUUGAGGUCAGAUACACUCUGAGGCUUGGUGCUGUUUUAAGUUGAUAGGUUUGUCCCUGGCCCAUCAUAGAAACUUUGUUGCAGGAUUAACUCCAACCAGAUUGAUCAUAAAAGCAAAUCUAAUCUGCCUGCAUCGUAAGGUGUGGCGUGUUGGCUUUUAUUGGUUAACAGCAGUUUCACCUUUGGAACUGUAUGUAAAAUAUUUCCAGAUUGGUACGUUGUAAACAAAGUUCAGUGCGUUGGAUUUAAAAUAAGAAUAUUCUAUCAUUUUGUUUUUGUAUAUUUUCCUGGUGCCUUUGCUUUUGAUCUUUCCGUUUUGUUUGCAAGACACAAGAGAAGCGAAGGGGAAGGAUGCCUUUUGCUUUUCACCAAGAAAUCAAUGGACAGUAAUACAACUUGAAAGCGUAAGCUGUGGCUGCUUCAAGAUAGGAAGCCUGAUGGUCCUCAGCUUGUUGUACCUAAGUGACUAAAUUUUGUGGAAGGUCUUCAGGAGAGUUCACCAGUUACUGUAGUGAACCAUAGUGGUCACUGGUCAGUCUACUACCCUAUCUUGUCUAUUAAUGCACAUAUCAUAAUUCGGAUUGAUUUGGGGGCCACUCAUCCAUUUAUUGCGGAGGUUAUGCUUUCAUCAAACAGAAGUUGUCAUUCUCUUCAUGAAAAACAUUCUGUUUUCCCUACAACCUUGCCUUGGCAUUUGAUGCAGACAUAGUGUACAUGAACAUGUAAUUGGCAGUGCGAAAUUUGAUUUAUGAGAAUAGUGGAGCAGAUAACUCAGAACUUUGAUCAUGCCGUAUUUACUUUACCUACUUUGAUUAGCUCUAGAUGGAGCCGCAGAACUUGAAAUGCAUAACUCUAUUAUUGUGUUUAUCCUCGUUUUCUGGGGAUAUGGUUUCAACUUCAUUAGUUUUAAGCAGCUUGUGCUGCAAUAGGGAGGGGUGCUCUUCUGCUCAAUGCACGUGGAUUUACCGCGGGGGGAUGUUGCGGUCAUACCAUGAUAGAGUUAUCACAUGCUUACAAGUUGUUGCUAAAACGACAAGGCCGUAAGUAUUCAAUCUAUGUUGCUAGCUCAAGACGCUGUUAUGGAUACCAUCGUUGAUCGUUAGGUGUAGUUUCGCCUGGUUUGGUGCACAUUAGCCUUAUAUCAGGCCUUAUGCAAAACCACUGUAACUUAUACUAAUGUGCUAGCCUUAUGCAUUAAGUCAUGCUGAUGUUUGCAUCACUGUUUCCACUCGAUUUCUUUUGGUAAUCGUGCAACAGUUCUCUCGCACGUGUCCAUCUUGCCGAUCACUUGAGUUUUUUGGAUUU
Molecule: RNA transcript, 3823 nt
Organism: Oryza brachyantha (malo sina)
Lineage: Eukaryota; Viridiplantae; Streptophyta; Magnoliopsida; Poales; Poaceae
Gene name: cyclin-dependent kinase G-2
Exons: 9
Source: RefSeq, a predicted model, not a curated record